This 159-nucleotide transfer RNA is filed under the name Triticum aestivum (bread wheat). Its description in RNAcentral is "partial small subunit ribosomal RNA". The record is from RNAcentral. Lineage: Eukaryota; Viridiplantae; Streptophyta; Magnoliopsida; Poales; Poaceae.
AUGGAAAAUUGCAUUUUUGGAAUUUGCAAUAAUGCGAUGGGCGAACGACGGGAAUUGAACCCGCGCAUGGUGGAUUCACAAUCCACUGCCUUGAUCCACUUGGCUACAUCCGCCCCUUAUCCAGCUAAAGGAUUGUUUGGAUUGUUUUCAGCAAACUAG